GGAAGCUGGAUGAGGAGUUAGCAUCGUGCUAACAAUAUACUUACUGGAGAAAGCCUUUCAUCUGGCCAUCUCCAGGCACACGUGCAGAGUUAAUUAUUCUUCACACACCUCUGCUUGGGAGUGAGGUGAAGGAGGAAGCAGACCCAUUUUGUGGAAGAAGGGCAUCCGAAUUCAUCCUUUUACCCCACCCCUCACCUAAUAAAAGCUCGGCAUCACACUUACGGGCUGGAAAACAACAAGCCAACUCUACAGCGCUGCGGACGAGGAAGUAUGGAUGCCACACGGCCUUGAAAUGCAAGGCUAAUUUGCGGAGCAUAAUUACCCAAGGUG
RNAcentral lists this long non-coding RNA (330 nucleotides) under Chinchilla lanigera (long-tailed chinchilla). RNAcentral's name for it is "lncRNA (ENSCLAG00000024892.1)". The record is from RNAcentral. Lineage: Eukaryota; Metazoa; Chordata; Mammalia; Rodentia; Chinchillidae.